CGGGAGCGGGGCCGCCAUUUUGUGUCAGGGCUGGCGGGAAAGGCGGGAAAGGAGGCAGCGGGCGGGCGGCGGGCAGGCACCGAGCGCAGCCCCAGCGCGGCCCCCGCCGGGCACCAAACAGCUCCCAGCGGCCUCAUAACGCAGGCCCUGAGCAGCGGGCAGCAUGGCCCGCACCAAGCAGACGGCUCGUAAGUCUACGGG
Molecule: RNA transcript, 201 nt
Organism: Coturnix japonica (Japanese quail)
Lineage: Eukaryota; Metazoa; Chordata; Aves; Galliformes; Phasianidae
Gene name: histone H3.3A-like
Source: RefSeq, a predicted model, not a curated record